UGCCUGGCAAGGAGAAAUAUGUGUGCAAGUUGAAGCGAUCCUUGUAUGGUUUGAAACAGUCCCCUCGUCAGUGGAACAAGAGAUUAUGCUGCUGAUCUGGACAGGCGAAGAUCACUUACAGGUUAUGUGUUUACUGUUGGCAGUUGUGCUGUGAGUUGGAGGGCUACUUUACAGUCUGUUGUUGCUUUGUCUACUACUGAAGCAGAAUAUAUGGCUAUUUGUGAAGCGUGCAAAGAAUUAAUUUGGCUAAAA
This is a long non-coding RNA of Sorghum bicolor (sorghum), 252 nucleotides long. RefSeq lists it as uncharacterized. The transcript has 2 exons. NCBI's taxonomy places the organism in Eukaryota, Viridiplantae, Streptophyta, Magnoliopsida, Poales, Poaceae. The record is from RefSeq and is a predicted model, not a curated record.